UACGUAGGGCGCAAGCGUUAUCCGGAAUUAUUGGGCGUAAAGAGCUCGUAGGCGGUUUGUCGCGUCUGCCGUGAAAGUCCGGGGCUCAACUCCGGAUCUGCGGUGGGUACGGGCAGACUAGAGUGAUGUAGGGGAGACUGGAAUUCCUGGUGUAGCGGUGAAAUGCGCAGAUAUCAGGAGGAACACCGAUGGCGAAAGCAGGUCUCUGGGCAUUAACUGACGCUGAGGAGCGAAAGCAUGGGGAGCGAACAGG
RNAcentral lists this ribosomal RNA (253 nucleotides) under uncultured bacterium. Its description in RNAcentral is "partial 16S ribosomal RNA". It matches the Rfam family "Bacterial small subunit ribosomal RNA", at positions 524 to 776 of the family's 1533-position model. The record is from RNAcentral.